This 399-nucleotide ribosomal RNA is filed under the name uncultured bacterium. RNAcentral describes it as "bacterial SSU rRNA". It matches the Rfam family "Bacterial small subunit ribosomal RNA", at positions 30 to 431 of the family's 1533-position model. The record is from RNAcentral.
AUUGAACGCUGGCGGCAUGCCUUACACAUGCAAGUCGAACGGCAGCACGGGAGCAAUCCUGGUGGCGAGUGGCGAACGGGUGAGUAAUAUAUCGGAACGUGCCCAGUCGUGGGGGAUAACGUAGCGAAAGCUACGCUAAUACCGCAUACGAUCUAUGGAUGAAAGCGGGGGAUCGCAAGACCUCGCGCGAUUGGAGCGGCCGAUAUCAGAUUAGGUAGUUGGUGAGGUAAAGGCUCACCAAGCCGACGAUCUGUAGCUGGUCUGAGAGGACGACCAGCCACACUGGGACUGAGACACGGCCCAGACUCCUACGGGAGGCAGCAGUGGGGAAUUUUGGACAAUGGGCGCAAGCCUGAUCCAGCAAUGCCGCGUGCAGGAUGAAGGCCUUCGGUUGUAACU